Molecule: long non-coding RNA, 3971 nt
Organism: Dermacentor andersoni
Lineage: Eukaryota; Metazoa; Arthropoda; Arachnida; Ixodida; Ixodidae
Source: RefSeq, a predicted model, not a curated record
GCUGCGCAUGCGUGAGCUGAGAGAAGGUGAGAAAGGAGAACAACUCUUUUUCCGCAGGAUGUGACGUCACAUUGUUGCUUGUUUUUACUUUUUUGAAAGAGCUACUCUCGAACCUAGACUAGCCAUUGCCGUCGUGUCGGCUGCAAGACUUUCUGCGCGCGCUUUUGUGCAUGUCGAAAGCGUAUAACGUGCGCGAUAUUCGUGCGAGCGCAGUUUGACUUGAGCAAUCGUGGGUUUGGACUCCGUGACAUUUGCUUUCGUCAUAUGCGAGUUAGGGGCUUGCCGACAGGUAAACCGCCGCUGUACUUAGAUGAGUUGAGAUUUACACAUCAAUGCCAGCUCACAAAGCAUCUAAUACGGCAAUCAGCCAGCCACCUCCGCAGAUGGAGAAUUCUGCAGUUUCCAAUCAUACUGUUUCUGUUGUCUUUGGCAGAGAUUUUGAUUGUACACGGCGGGAAUAAACUGUAGGACCAUAAAAAAACUUGUGAUGACAAGGGCCAUAUAUGGUGGAAAUUAUAGUAGAUUAUGACCAGCAUUAGCUCAAGCCCUGCUAAAGGUCUGUGGUAUCUAAAAAAAUAAUAAAGUGCUGGUUUUCAUAUCUAUAGCUGCUGUGUGCAUUAAGCUCAAAACUCCCUUCUUGGCAACAUAACCCAGGAAUGCCCACUCCAAACACUCUUGCACAUGCACUUUCACAGCAUCUGCUUUGAUCUACCUAAUUGCAUAUCAGUAAAGGUGGGUCUAGUUCACUAAAGACUGACAAUGCUGCAUUCGAAUGGAACCAAACCGUUCUCGAAAAGUUCUUGAAACCAGUCAAGCAGGUUUUUGAGAACUUUUAAUCUGGCAAAAUGACAAAAUGAAAGUUAUUUGAAAUAAGUGAUGCAAUGCUGAUGAGGUUUGGGCAUGCAUUUCAAGGUGCUUGGCCUUCAUUAUCUCUAAUCAUAGUGAACCUGCCAAAUUGGCAAGGAUCUUGAAUGAAUUCUUCACUAGGCCCAACUAUUUUGUUGCUGCCCUAUAUUGUGCACUCUUCCUAUAUAGGAAGAGCGCACAACAAAAAUCUUGUGGCUUCCUGUUAUCAUAACACCCUAUAACUUCCUUAGAUGUGGGCCAUUUGAUAUUCACCAAUAAAUACUUCCACAGGAUUUAGAUGAUGCCUUUAAAUAUGUGUCCCUCAUGCUUACAUGUAAAGGAGCACUGACAUUAAACUUUUGGACUGAAUUUUUUUAUAUUAAUCUGGUUCCAAAUGGCAGCUUUUAUGGCCACACCAUGCCACUGAAAGCUGCAUGUGCUUUGAGCGAUUCUUAAUGUGUGCUAAGACUUGCUUCACUAAAUAAAUUUUCUUAUGACUCUUCUCAAACAUCUAAAUUAAAAUUAAUUUACUUCUAGUGUUCUAUAAGUCACAACCACGAUACGAUUACGAGGCAUGCCAUAGUUGCGGACUCCGGCUUAACUUUAAUCGCCUGAGGUUUUUAACAUGCACCCACUCCACAGUGUGCACCAAGACAGAAAGACCAAUGUUGUGCUGCAUAGUGGUCCUAACAUGCUCAGUUUUCAAUGACCUAAUAAUGGCAUGGCUUACUCAUGAACUGCAGCGUGCAUCAUUUGUUUGUGACCUACCAUGCAAUGUUGUCACCAGAUUAUGGGGCCACGCUGCCUUUGGCACAUGUUUAAAUGUUGGCGUUAAGGAUAUAUUUGUGGCGCAUAGAAGGAAUUUGAAGUUUUGUAGUGUAGUUAACUGAAUGACAGCUACACACGCAUAAGAAAAAAAUUGUGCCAGGACUACUUAAACUCUGCAGUGUUUGAGUUUGACCAAUUCUUGCGAUUUUGCACAUUUCGGAUGACUGCAGGUCAUUCAUUACAGUUAUACCAGCUUUUGUACUAUUUAGACAUGCUGUUUGCCCCGGUUUUAUACAGUGAUCAUAGAUAGCCACCACACCAUGUUGGUAGAAGAAUUCAGAAUUUUAGUAAAAUGGGGUUGCUCCAUGUUGAGGUGCACCAGCAUGUCAUAGUAAGUGGAAGCCAGAAGCAGCAGCAUUUUAAGGUAUUGUGCCGCACCAUGUAAAGUGAAAUUAUUGUGCCCCCCUCCACUCUCGCUGGCAAAACCUGCUGGUGAAGCAUUGCGAGCAAGCUUUCGAGGUACGCUGCGCUCUUUCCAAAACAGCGUCCGAGGCAGCCAUCUAUUUUGCCUACAGGACGAGAAGUCCCUGGCCAGGAGUGCAUCGAACAUACGGAAAUAUCUGUCAAUUGUGCUGCUGAACAUCUAGAGAUUUAUAGUUUUGACCUCAGGUUGCAGAACACAGCAAUGCUAUAGCAAACAGUGUAGUGAAAGCUGUUUCACGGCUCUACCACGGCAUAGCCAGCACUGCAUGCAUAUACUAUACACAAGCAUGAGGUUUUAGCAGCAAUACUUAACAGUAAAUUGUAUUUGUACAACUUCACUCUGUCUUUAACACUGCCAGGCUUUAAAAUACAUGAGAAGAGGUCACUGUCUUUCAUUUGAUGUGUUUAUACAAAAAAAGUGUGUGCAUGGAAGGGGUUAAUUAAGGCUCCUUUGUCAAGCCAAAAUGCUUCCUGGCAUGAUAAAGUGAAGCCUUGUGCAUUUCAGUCUGCAGUUGCUCACUGCACUUUCAAAAGCGCAAUCAGCACAGAGAGCACAGGAAAACACACAAGCAAUGGUUCAGCAGUUUAUUUGAAACAAAUGCAACUUUGUUUUACAGAAAGACCACAUUCCAAAAAAGCAACCACAUGCUUUGCAGACAAUACAGCCAACUUAUGUUAAUUGCACAGAUGUUAACAUGCCCUGCCUUUAUAUGUGGAAAUGUUUCAAGUCUCAAAGUGUGCCCCUACUUUGUAGCUUGUCCUUGGAACAAUGGAUGAUUCAAACAAAUGCUAAAUUUAGCACCAUUGCCACACUGAUAGAAGAAAACUACAUAUUAAAAUGGCAACUUCUUGGAGAACAGAAAAGGGUGUAUAGUAAACUUCCAAUAAUCUGACUCCGGUUAAUUUAAUUUUUUCAGUUAAUUCGAUCCUGGCCGACGCCCAUGCAUUUCUAUGGGAUUAAACAUUCAUUAUUUCGAUCCUAAAACUGGCAUUCGCCGGAUAAUGCGAACUUGACCACACCCCAAUAAUGACCCCUUUUAGUGGCAGCCCAUGUCUCAGUAGAGCUUAGGGGACAGUGAAUGCGUUAAACAAAUGCCAUCUCUCUGAAAUGCCUAUUUUUGACCCACCCGUGAAAGAUUUUCAAGCAGUAACGGUAGCUGACGAUGUCCGACUGUGGUACUUAUCUGAUUCUAACGAACACUUUUUGUUUUCAAAGGACAUUGAGACGAAAAUUGCCUAGCUGUGCAAUCGAUUGCGAAACUAAAACCGUGGUUGCACCAUUCAUAUGCUUUACCACAUAUCAUGGCUGUAAUACGGCGAAGCUGGCUUUGGAAAAUCAGCUGGCAUUCUAAAAAAUGAGGUACGCGUAGGUUUCUACUUUGGUUUGGAGUUAAGUCAUUUCUACUUUAGUUUUAUACUGUGGACAAAUAGAAAUUUGAUGCACGUUCGUUUCAGAGGCGUGUUACUCAAGCACAUAUUGCCAAAUGAAUCAACGGUGCAUCAGCAGGUUUUUGCAUCUUAAUUCGACCCGUCAGUCUCGUGAGGGUAGAAUUAAUGGAAGUUGAUUGUAUAAAUUGCGUGAUGAAGCACCAAGAAAGUUACCUUGCUCAGGUAGUGAAAAAGCAUGGAGAAAGUGCUUCACACAACAUCCACCAAUGUUCUGUUGCAGAUGCAAAAGCUGCCUCCCUUAUCUGGAACAGAAUAAAUUCCUUUCGAAGGCAAAAUAAAAAACAGAAAGAGAAGUCAUCAAGGCAUUCCACAUCCAUCUUAUUCAGUCUUUACAGUGUUGCUACAUCACCAUUUGCUUAGCCUCCUAUGCCAAAAAAAAUUGUCGAAAAUAAAAUGACCUGAUUCCCAUGUUUUUCACCACCCAA